AUGUGGAUGUGGAUGUGGAUGUGGCUGUGGCAGCGGCGGCGGCGGAGGCCGUUGUUGUGUAGCAGCUAUGGUGGUUGCGGUUGUUGUGACAGUGGUCGGGUGUGCCCGGAGCAGGAGGUUGAUCUGGUCACGAAUGAAGCCUGCCUUGUGUGAGAGGUUUAACCCUAGCUUCGCUUCGAGUUGCUGAACGACGCCGUCUAAGGACGUGACGGAGUUGGGUUCUGAUUGACGGAGCACAGUCUCCACCCCUUUCGCUAAUUCCUGGUCCGACACCAUCGCCUUCUGUCUCUGUUUCACAUAUAUUUAACAGAAAAAAGAAAACGGAAACAAACGACUCUCUCUCUCCUUUCUCUCUCACACAAUCCCUACUCUGUCUCUCUCUCUCUCUCUCCGGUAACGCUUUCCUCUAACAGUAUCUCAAUCUCUCCCUGCUUGCGCUUCAAAUCAAAAUUUCCGUUUUAAACCUUCAUUUCUCUCUGCUUCUCUGUUCGUUGAACUCGCCAUGGGA
RNAcentral lists this unclassified non-coding RNA (508 nucleotides) under Hevea brasiliensis (rubber tree). The record is from RNAcentral. Lineage: Eukaryota; Viridiplantae; Streptophyta; Magnoliopsida; Malpighiales; Euphorbiaceae.